UGGCUCAGGACGACGCUGGCGGCGUGCCUAACACAUGCAAGUCGAGCGGGGACAUGCGACGGAGAUGAAGUUUCGGAUGGAGUUGAAGAUGUAUGUUCUAGCGGCGGACGGGUGAGUAACGCGUGAGCAACCUGUCCUUCACAGGGGGAUAACACAGCGAAAGUUGUACUAAUACCGCAUAAGACCACAGCAGGACAUCCUGCAGGGGUCAAAGGAGCAAUCCGGUGAAGGGUGGGCUCGCGUCCGAUUAGAUAGUUGGUGAGGUAACGGCCCACCAAGUCAACGAUCGGUAGCCGACCUGAGAGGGUGAUCGGCCACAUUGGGACUGAGACACGGCCCAAACUCCUACGGGAGGCAGCAGUGGGGAAUAUUGGGCAAUGGGGGGAAACCCCCUGACCCAGCAACGCCGCGUGAGUGAUGAAGGCCUUCGGGUUGUAAAGCUCUGUUAUAGGGGACGAAGGAAGUGACGGUACCCUAUAAGGAAGCCCCGGCUAACUACGUGCCAGCCGCCGC
This 513-nucleotide ribosomal RNA is filed under the name uncultured bacterium. RNAcentral's name for it is "bacterial SSU rRNA". It matches the Rfam family "Bacterial small subunit ribosomal RNA", at positions 20 to 518 of the family's 1533-position model. The record is from RNAcentral.